UACGAAGGGGGCUAGCGUUGUUCGGAAUUACUGGGCGUAAAGGGCGCGUAGGCGGCGUGUCAAGUCAGGCGUGAAAGCCCCGGGCUCAACCUGGGAACCGCGCUUGAGACUGGCAUGCUCGAGUUCGGGAGAGGAUGGUGGAAUUCCCGGUGUAGCGGUGAAAUGCGCAGAUAUCGGGAGGAACACCAAUGGCGAAGGCAGCUUGCUGGGACGGUACUGACGCUGAGGCGCGAAAGCGUGGGGAGCAAACAGG
This 253-nucleotide ribosomal RNA is filed under the name uncultured bacterium. Its description in RNAcentral is "partial 16S ribosomal RNA". It matches the Rfam family "Bacterial small subunit ribosomal RNA", at positions 524 to 776 of the family's 1533-position model. The record is from RNAcentral.